Long non-coding RNA from Symsagittifera roscoffensis, 307 nucleotides. RefSeq lists it as uncharacterized. Lineage: Eukaryota; Metazoa; Xenacoelomorpha; Acoela; Convolutidae. The transcript is spliced from 3 exons. The record is from RefSeq and is a predicted model, not a curated record.
CUCGGACGGGGCUAAAACGAACAAGGGUCGAGUGUGGGGGGUUUUCUCAUUCUUCAUCGGGUUGUUUGCCCGAUUCAGCAACAUCGAAUACGAGAAAAAACUAUCGAUUCUGUUUAUAUGUGUUGGCUCCGCUUUUGCCAUGUUGACAAUCCCUGAGCUCCUCGUCAACUUAGCCGACACAUUCCACGAAGAGACGGAUGAAUGGGUCGAGAAACAAAAGAGUCUGAAAGUGGCGGUGCAGACGUUCUUCUGUUUGAACUUCUCAAUCAACCCGUUGCUGUACUUAAUCAUGAACAGCUACUUCCGG